CGUGUUCUCCUCUUCUCACCUUUCUCUCUCCCUUAUCUCUUUCACGUUGAGCAAGCGGCGGGCGAAGGUAGCGGCGGCCGGUGCGGGCGGCCGGCGAGCUGCGCGAGGGGCCUGCGGGCCAGUGUCGGCGGCCGGCGAGCGGGGACGGGCAGAGGUAGUGGCGGAAGGUCGGGGCUGAUGCGGGUGGCGUGGCCAGCCAGUGGGCUGCGGGGUAGCUACGGGCAAUGAGGUGACGUGGACCAUCUGGAUCUGGAUCUGCGAACAGAGGCACCGUUGAGGGUGGCGUUGGUGGCAGCAGAGUUGACGGGGUGCGGUCGGUCAACGGUUCUGGCGACACAGCCAACGAGGGCGCCGGUGGCGUGGCCGGCCAGCAGGGGCGCUCGGCCUGCAGGCGGACAACAAGUGCAGGGGCCGGCGCGGGCAUGCCCGGCGCAGGCGGCUUGCUCGGGCAUCGCUUGUGGCGCGUUCAACCGGCGGGGCAGCCUCAGGCGGCGGGUGCGGCCUUCCGGCGGACUACAGGUGCAGGGCCAGCGUGGGCAAUUGUAGUGAGCAGCGUGUGCAGCCCAGGUGACACGAGUGGCGGUGGUGCCGGAUGCGGCAGCACGAGCGGCUACAGCCUUUUUUUAUUUUUCCUAAAAAUAUCAUUGCCUUUUAUUUUUCCUAAAAAUAUCAUUGCUGGCGGGCCUUCUAAUCAGCCAUCAAUACAAAUCGUAUCAACCCGCCAAUAGAGAGACCAUUUCUGCUGGCAGUGGCUUCUUGGACGCCAGCAGAGAGACCAUUUCUACUGGUAUUGGCUUGCUGGUGGGUGAGAAAUUGGUUUUGACUGCCAGUGCAAAUGUUUUCUAGCAUAGUGACCCUCACGCCAGGGGGCUGAUCUUUUCCCCGAGGAGGAGCAACCAGAAGAAGGGAUCAGGGAGCAAGUCAUAGAGAUGUCCCGGCCGUCAAUCUUCCAUUCACGCCCAUCCAUCAAGGGAGCCGCCAGAGGAAGGAGAUGGGAUGACGCGACCUCAAGCCAUCGACGCCAGCGUCACCGUCCGGCCCGGGGACGCCCAUCUACUUCAGGCCGGAUCUUUUUGCCAUCGGUAGAGCCGGCAGAGGAAGGAGCUGAGGAGGUGAUCCAGCCGGCGCGCGACGCCCUCAAAAACCGGUGUCUGCACCAGCCGGUGCCGCCCUCUACAACCUUCACUAGCAAGCUCCGUCCACCGUUGGCGCAGGGGGCGCUGAGGAAGCAAUGGCCCCUCUCUUCGUCUGCUGCGACGCAGGUUGAUCUCUUGUACUCUUCCUUUCUUCUCAUAGAUCAUAUGCAUGCGCACGCACGGCUCGCUCGAUCGGGAAGGCAGCCGGAGGAUGAGCUGUGGAGGCCAUCCAUCCUCGAUCCAUCAGCCGGCGCCGCCCUCUGCAACCUUCACCAGCAAGCUCCCCCACCAUUGGCGCACGGGGCAUCGAGGCUGACGAAGGCGACGAGCAAGCAGGAGAAAGCCAUGGCCCUCUCUUCGUCCUCAGCGGCGCGGGAACAUGAAGCUGCGUAUUUAAGAUGGAGGCACGAUGUCCACGACCGGCGGGGACGCUGCGGGUUGCCGGUAGCCGAUGGAGGAGCCGAUGCCGAUGGAGACGACGUCGCAAGGCCGCUAGCCCAGGGGUCGGCGCCCGCAAAGUUGGCAUCCGAAGCUACCGGACGUCGAAGGCAUGAGGGCGAGGCUCGGACGAUGCGUUGCCAAGGCAGCGGCCGCGGAGCCGCACCAUCACACGAAGUCAUCAAGCCGCCGGCUUUACAACGCUGAUGAAGACGAUGCCGGGACGGCAGGCGCUCAGGCGACGGAGACGUCGUGAAGACGUCGGAUUGUGCUCGGGCUGACAACAAGUUGGUGCUGCCGAUGUACAGUCGGAGGCCAGGAGCCGGACAGCACUACUCGGAUAUUACGAAGACCUUGCAUCUACAUAUAGAUGCACAACCACUAUGAGUUAGCAAUCAAGGAAGGAAGUCCAAGCUCUUCUCCGACGGCUUCUCCACGGCCCGGCCUUCACGCACGUCGAGGCUUGAAGACUACCUCGGCCUCAACGACCAAGACAGCGUCAACACCACGGAGCUACCGGAGGUGGUGCCGGGACGAAAAGACGGCGGACGACGAUGACACGCGAGGCUGUCGGCUAGGCUAUGCUGGGACAACAGAGGCGGUGCUGCCGCCGAGGGUGGCACAGUGCCGGUCCUAUGUUUUUAAGGGCCCUCUGGCGAACUCAUCACGAGCGCCCUCUAAACUAUAUAUAAAUUUUAUAAUAUAUAUAAGCGCUAAUUUUUCUUGCAAAAACAAAUCUAGUAAUAUAUUUUUAAUUCAA
This is a long non-coding RNA of Setaria italica (foxtail millet), 2334 nucleotides long. RefSeq lists it as uncharacterized. The record is from RefSeq and is a predicted model, not a curated record. Lineage: Eukaryota; Viridiplantae; Streptophyta; Magnoliopsida; Poales; Poaceae. The transcript is spliced from 2 exons.